CCGGGGCCUGGAGCUGGGGACGCGGGCCGGGGCCGGGAGUUGCGGACUCGCUGGCGGGUGGGAGGAGCGGAGUCGGGGCGAGGCUGGCGGAGAUCCAGGGGAUCGCCCGGUUGGGCCCUGCGCACCCCGGAUCACCAGCUUCGGGCGCUGGUUCCCACCGAGGCUGUUCAGGCGCCGCUCCCCCGCGUCCCUGCGACAGGAGGCGCCUGCUGGGCGCGCUAUGGACCCCGCCUCGCGGAGACGCCUGGCUCGGGCCUUGUCCCCAGUGAGCGGCUGGAGCGGCCGCGGGGUCGCAGAGCCUCCGGGACCCCGAGGAAGGGCGCCCCUCGGAGUUGCCCGAGGCCGGGCCCGGCGUCCACUCGCCACUCGCCUCGCCCCUCCCCGGCCCCGCACCGCCCUCCACCCCGCCUCCUUCGGGUUCCUUCUGCGUCCGGCAGAGCCUGCGCGCCUCCCCCGGACGGCCACGGACUCGCAGCCUCGGCGAGGACGCUGCCUGCGUCCCGACUGCCUGGACCUCCCCGCGUGGCUCCCGGCGAAGCCCAGCAGCCGGAGGGUGCCAGGUCCGCCUGACGCGCCCCUCCCCACGGGAAGAACGGGGCGGGGGUCCAGGAGGGACGUAAGCCGGGCUCCCCCGGCGUGUUGAUCCGAACCCGCGCGGGAAAACUUGCGCAAACCAAAGGAGGGAAGAGUCAGGCAGCCCCCAGCCCCCCAGGGAGGCCCAGGUGAAAAACAGACGCCGGCCUCGCCUCUCCCGGUGCGGAUGAUCCCGGCACUCCCACCCCCGCCCCUGCUGCCCCGAGUUCGGCUCCCUCAGCCCCACAUCCUCUCUGGUCAUCUAAGUGGACUGCAGCUGCUCAGGGAGCAUGUCGCGAAGGAUAGGGAAGGACAGGGGGUCUGCUUCCCCAGCCGCCCUCCAGACCCCCAGGGCUGGUAGGGGCCGGCAACCCUAUGCCCCAACCUGGCCUGCUGCAGGUGAGGGGGGCACACCAGGGUAACACAGGAGCAGGAGGGGGAGAAAGCCUGGCUAGAGCAUCCACCUCAUAGGCACCUUCCUUGUGUCCAGGGUGCAGAUGCCAGGGCUCUGAGGCCCUGAGGUCCUGUCUGGGGCGAGGGGGCUUCCUCCAUCCACUGCAUCCACUGCCCGGCUGAGUCUAGAGGCCACUGAGCAAGCAGACCCUCCAAAGCCAGGCACACUCAGGCCCUCACAUGGUCACGGUGCUUAUGCUCUGGGCCAGCCUGGAUUGCUCAUCCCUAGCUGAGAUUGGGAUUCACAGGGUCUUCCAGUUCCCCCUUUUCUUUCUCUACUGAUUGAGAAACACAGAGUCCUUUGAUUGCUCUGGGACCUGGCCAUUGCGUGUUCCCUGCAGCCUUGAACCCAGUUCAAUGGGGCCGGGCACAUUCCCUGAUAAAGCUGUUUAGGUUGCUUGAAAACACAAUCAACCCUAUUGCUAAACACGUAGAAACUGGCCCUGCCCUGAGUCCAAUCCCUUAAACUCUCAUCUAAGCUCCAUAGCCAGAGUCCCUUGCUGCAAAUGUACCUGGGUGGAGCAUCCCUUGCCUCAUCAUCGAUCCCAAGAAAGCUGAAGCUCCAUGUGAAAAUUUCCGGAAGAAAUGCUCUGGACUGAUCACCCUGGCGUUUAGAGCUUCUUUCCUUGGAAUCCCAACCAAUUCCAUCGCGGGACUGUUUGGGGAAGUCUUUUGAGGCAACUCCCUUGCUGCCACUUUUGGGGCAACUCUAGCCUCCUCAUAUUUGGCCAGAUAGAACAGUUCCAAGCUGUAAAUGUUUCCAGGAAAAAAUCUCAACUACAAAGACACUUUCAAGGUGCUGCAUUUCCAACAGCACUCUCCGUAUCCGAGUGGACAGCCCAGAGCAAUGGUGCUUCCAAUCCACAGAGCCCCUCCACAGGUCCCUUGCCAUCUGCAGACACCCACAUCUCAAGGAUUUCCAGCCUGCAAACCUGAGCUAAUCUCCCUGCUGGAAUGAGGGGAGGCGCCCUGGAUCCUCACCCGGCCAGAAACGGGGGAGAGUGCUCCCAAGGGACCCUAGCAGAGGUGAGUGAGCGUGAACAGGGUGGACACAGCUCCACUGCCAUAGGCCAGGCCACAACUUGGAGUGGGCCUGGGAGCUCAGAAGUUUCGGAGGACAGAGAACUAGGAGCCAGGAGCCUCCAAGAGCCACAGCGCCCACCUCACGGAGGGCUGGGGCAGACAGCUGGCCCCACCUGGGCACCAUGCCAUACAGAGACCCACGAGUGCCAGAGCAGCCACAGGACUGGGGUUUUGGGAACAGCAGUAGAGGCUGCUGCGCACACACAGAGGAGGAUGGCACAGAGGCCCUGGAGAUGGAGGCUCUGCUGUGCGUUGGGGAUGGCCGUGCUGCCAUCACACCAGGGAUGUCCAGGGGGAGGCAGCCUCAGGAAGCAGUGCCACACGGGCUGGUUAUGAGUCGACAGUGAGGCUUCCAGCUUGAGGACCCGGUGACAUGGGCUGGGAGAGGGUAUCUACUGCCGUGACCUUGGAGGGUCUUCUCUGUGCCUGCUGUUCAGGGCACCAGGGGUCCUGAGGGGAGAUGGUCGGUCAGGGAGGAGCAGCCUGAAUGACAGCGAUUGGCUUUGCCCUGGUGCAGGGACUGUGGUCAUUCCAGGUGAGGGUGAGGAGAAGUGAGGUCAGGUGAGGCUGGGUUUCCAGGCCCUUCAGCAGCACAUGGCCGUUUGAAGUGCAUCUCAGGAGGCAAGGGAUCCUUCCCUGGGUUCAAGCAGGAGAAACCUGGGGUUCGAUUAGCAGCUGUUAGGACCUCCAUGUUGUCAUAUUGGUCAUUCGGGGCCUGUUGUUGAACAGGAACAGCUGCAUUGCUGGUGGGGGCUGUACCAUGGAGGAGAGGGGGAGCUGUCAAUCAACCACCAUUGCAGACUCUGCAGCACCCGAGUGGCGACAGAGAUGGUGUGGUGAGAGGUUGGUGGGACUGCUGAGGUGCCCAGGACCAGAGGGGCUCAGCACAGAGGGGUCCAGGCCGGGUCUGUCCCCCCAGGACAGAGACGCAGUUUGGGUCUAGGUGGGGGUCUGUCCAUCAGCCUUGGGCUUGUGGCUGGGGAUGGCUGAGAUUUGACUGUUGUUUCUUUGCAGUCUUGGGGUUUGGGAGUAGAUUUUGAAUUUGAGCAGGUGUAGAGACAAGAAGUUUUCAAGAGUUUCAGAAAAAGGAGUCAGCCGGGCACGGUGGCUCGUGCGUAUAAUCCCAGCACUUUGGGAGGCCAAAGAGGGCAAAUGGCUUGAGCUCACGAGUUCUAGAUCAGACGGGGCAACAUGGCAAGACCCUGUCUCUACAAAAAAUACAAAAAUUAGCCUGGCGUGGUGGCGGGUGCCUGUAGUCCCAGCUACUCAGGAGGCUGAGGCAGGAGAAUCACUUGAACCUGGGAGGCGGAGGUUGCAGUGAGCCAAGAUCACGACACUGCACUCCAGCCUGGGUGAUGGAACCAGACCUUGUCUCAAAAAAAAAAAAGAAAAGAAAGAAAACAAAGGAGCCAGGAGGCCACGGCUAGAGCCCAGGGCAGAAACCCUCAGCCGGUAGCUCAGACCUCAAGCCAGGUUGUGAGGACUGUAGCCCUGGCUAGGGGCGUGGAGCCCGUGGACGGCCGGCCAUUCUCAGUGGAAGUUAGAGGGAGGAGAAGGGGACGUCCUGGUGUGAUGGACAAGAGGAGGGUGUCCUAGAGGAGGGAGGGUGGCCGGCCACCAGGACUGGACCUGAGUCUUGACUCAUCAUUGAGGCCCAGAUUGUUUCACAGAAGGGGGGCCUGCUCACCAGCUCUCCCCAGCUCACAAAGACCCACGAACGCGGAGGGGCCUCUCUCCAGCUCUCCCCAGCUCACAAAGACCCACGAACGCGGAGGGGCCUCUCUCCAGCUCUCCCCAGCUCACAAAGACCCACGAACACCGAGGGGCCCUGGAGCUGCCGGAUGAGCCGGCUUGGAUUGCUGGGCCAUGUCGAUGCAGGCGACAGCCGGGGCACAGGGCUUGUGAGGCCCAACAGUGUCUUGCCUCCUUGGGGUGGACUCUGAGAACAGACAGCUCCAGAGCUUAGAGCCUGGCAGGUGAGAGGCACUGGGGGUGCCUGGUGGGGCCUCUCUGGCAGCUGCUGACAGGCUGGUCCUGAACUCCUGGCCGCAGCUCUGGCUGCCUCCACAUCAGCGGCAGGUGCAGCCGUCAGGUGUGUCUCACGGCAGGUGAAGGUUGUUCUCAGGCCUCAGGGCCCCGGAGUCCUCAUCUGGCCCCCACUGGUGCCCUCCCCAUCUUCCUCGCCAGUGCCCUUUCAGACCUGUGACCCCUUGGUCACUCUUAUGUGGCCUGCGGCGUGAAUGACAGUUUUCCCUCACAGGCCUGUCUCCAGCUGAGCACCUCUGAGCUCCCCUAGACUCCUUGGGGGCAGGGUCAGAGUCUCCCAUGACCUCGAGUCCUCCAGGGACCAGUGCCCCACAGGUCCAGCCUGCAUGGGGAUAGGCAGAGCCAGAGAGUGGCCACAGGCCUGCUGCGGCAAGAAGGCAGGUGGCACGUGAGCCACCGCACCCGUCCUUCCCGGGCUGGUGGUAUCUGCCUGUGUCCCUGUGCUUAUGGCUGCUGGCGUAAACGUAGUUACUGGCCCCUCGUAGCAGGCCUCAAGGACUCCGUGGGCCCUACCUGUGCUCCUGUGUUUCUUGUGGCUGGGGCAGCAGCAGGCUGUGAGAAGCUCCUCCUUCAUACGAGGGUUUCAGACCAUGCUGGGUGUGCCAGGAUGCCUUCGUGGGCAGUGGGUGGCAAGGCCGCUCCGUCCUGGCAAGCCUGCCCCUGCGCACUCGCGCGGUGGAUGCAUACAGGUGGCCGGUGCUCCCUUCCUUGAGAAUGGAGGCCGCUUGGCGGGAGACACCCAAGGGAACGGCAGCACCUUGACAGGUUUGCUUCACUGCCCUUGGCUCCUGCCUUGCCGGAGUCUGUGUGUCCCUCAAGAGGGGCCGGUCUGCAGGGUACAGAGGGACCAAGGGAUGUCCCCCCAGGGUACAGAUGGUCCAGGAGGAUGCUUUGCAGCUUCUCAGUGGGCAUUGCCCCAGGGAGGCUGGUCUGCCCGAUGCCAGGUGCUCAGGGAUGGAGGAUCCAAGCCUAAGCCACUUCCAGGCCUGUCAGGGCAACCUCCUCGGCUCCUGCAGCACAAUCUUUCUGGUUCACUGCAGUAACCCUGGGUCCAGAACAGCCCUGACAUGUCACAGCCCCUCCCCGUUCAAAAGCUGGUCUCUCAGCUCGUCCUCACAAGCACCUGUGAGGCAGGAGAUGCCCUCCUUUGCAGGUGAGACACGGAGGCACAGAGGUCAGGCUGCUAAGGGUGCCACCAGGGUCUCCCCCACGCCCACAGAACCACCUCCUGCCUUCCACAGCAGCUGUGUGUGGGAGGAGGACAGUUGUGGGUGAUUGCAGGCCAGGUGUGAUGCUGAGCAGGAGAGGAGGAGCACAGGUGAAAGGAGCUUGUGUCCCAUAGGCUGGGGGUUUCUUUUUCCAAUGCAAUGUGAUCUCCCCCUACCCCCUGUCAGACCCCCUUGGGCUGCUGGUGAAGAAGUGUGAGUAACUAGACUCCUCAGUUAGUGACAGGCUUUUUUCCCCAAGCCAGACAAUGGGGAGUUCACAAAGGAGUUUGGAUCUUAGAUCAUAAAGUGAGUCCCUUGCUUAGUGUUCUGCAGGAUGUGGUUUAGUUUCAGGAUCUGAGUUCUAACUGCCAAUCUCAGGCCACUGGCGGUAGUGGGAGGCUGCUGUGGGUCCAGCCUGGGGGCCUGGCCACCCAUACAGUGUCAGAUUAGAGCCAAAGGCCACAGAGCUGGGUGGAGGGCGCUGCUUCCUUGUGGGAGCCUAUGACAUUUUGCCCGUUACGUAGAAAUCCAAGCUAACUGGCCCCAGAGUUGCUGCCAGGUUGAAGUGUCCACUCCGAGACGUUUUGGGCAGAAGCUUGCAGAUUUGCCCCUCCAUUUAACUUAGGGGACAAGGGCUAUGCUGACCUCCCCAACAGUGGCCUGGGGCAGGGAGCGGGAGAAGUGGCAGGCCCUGUGGGAAGGGCUGCAGGAAAGGAGGGGCCAGAAGUGGGGCCAGGCAGCAGUUCACCCACCCCAGCGCCCCUUUAGUCAGGACCUGCAGUGUCCAGCAUGGUGGGCUCAAGCCCCACGUGGCCAUCAGACACCUGGAAAGUGCCCCGUCCAAAUCGACAUGUGCCACAAAUGAAAACACUUGAUUUCAAAGACUCAGUAUGAAAAAUCAAAUCAAAUCUCUCACCGAUGAUUUUUUUAUAUUGAUUGCAUUUGGAAUUAUAUUUUGGAUUUAAGGUAAAUAAAGUGUAUUACUGUAUUUAAUGUUACCUGUUUCUUUUUACAUUUUAUUUUAUUUUAUUUUUAUUUAUUUAUUUUUAGGCAGAGUCUCACUCUGUCAGCCAGGCUGGUGUGAUCUCAGCUCACUGCAACCUCCACCUCCCGGGUUCAAUCGGUUCUUGUGCCUCAGCCUCCCGAGUAGCUGGGACUACAGGCGCGCACCACCACACCCGGCUAAUUUUUGUAUUUUUAGUAAAGACAGGGUUUUGCCAUGUUGGCCAGGCUGGUCUUGAACUCCUGGCCUCAAGCUAUCCACCUACCUCAGCCUCCCAAAGUGCUGGGAUUACAGGCAUGAGUCACCACGCCCAGCCUCCUUUUAUUUUAUUUUAUUUUUUAUUUUUUAUUUUUUCCUUUUAUUUUAAAGUUAAAAAGUAGCUCAGAGAUAGUGAUUUUAGGUGAAGGAUUUGGGCUGUGGCCUCUGUGCCCAAAACUUCUGUCUUCAAUUAGAUCCUUUCAUUUCUACAAAGCGGGCACCACAGCCUCACAUCAUUUGAUCAUUUGAUCUUUCUUUUUUUUUUUUUUCCGGAGACAGAGUCUCGCUCUUUCGCCC
RNAcentral lists this long non-coding RNA (6921 nucleotides) under Homo sapiens (human). RNAcentral's name for it is "long non-coding RNA NONHSAT217810.1". Lineage: Eukaryota; Metazoa; Chordata; Mammalia; Primates; Hominidae. The record is from RNAcentral.